UUAGCUCAGUUGGUUAGAGUCCCUCACGUGCGGGAUUAAUCAGAGGGUCGCUGGUUCGAGUCCAGCAGGGG
This 71-nucleotide transfer RNA is filed under the name Flagellimonas lutaonensis. Its description in RNAcentral is "tRNA-Und (NNN) (tRNA-Und-NNN-1-1)". The record is from RNAcentral. Lineage: Bacteria; Pseudomonadati; Bacteroidota; Flavobacteriia; Flavobacteriales; Flavobacteriaceae.